UGCAGUCGAGCGGUAAGGCCCUUCGGGGUACACGAGCGGCGAACGGGUGAGUAACACGUGGGUGAUCUACCUUGCACUUCGGGAUAAGCCUGGGAAACUGGGUCUAAUACCGGAUAUGACCUGAGGUUGCAUGACUUCGGGUGGAAAGAUUUAUCGGUGCGAGAUGGGCCCGCGGCCUAUCAGCUUGUUGGUGAGGUAACGGCUCACCAAGGCGACGACGGGUAGCCGACCUGAGAGGGUGACCGGCCACACUGGGACUGAGACACGGCCCAGACUCCUACGGGAGGCAGCAGUGGGGAAUAUUGCACAAUGGGCGCAAGCCUGAUGCAGCGACGCCGCGUGCGGGAUGACGGCCUUCGGGUUGUAAACCGCUUUUGACAGGGACGAAGCGCAAGUGACUGUACCUGUAGAAUAAGGACCGGCCAACUACGUGCCAGCAGCCGCGGUAAUACGUAGGGUCCGAGCGUUGUCCGGAAUUACUGGGCGUAAAGAGCUUGUAGGCGGUUCGUCGCGUCGUUUGUGAAAACUUGGGGCUCAACCUUAAGCUUGCAGGCGAUACGGGCGGACUAGAGUACUUCAGGGGAGACUGGAAUUCCUGGUGUAGCGGUGAAAUGCGCAGAUAUCAGGAGGAACACCGGUGGCGAAGGCGGGUCUCUGGGNAAGUAACUGACGCUGAGAAGCGAAAGCAUGGGUAGCAAACAGGAUUAGAUACCCUGGUAGUCCAUGCCGUAAACGGUGGGUACUAGGUGUGGGGCUCCUUCCACGGACUCCGUGCCGUAGCUAACGCAUUAAGUACCCCGCCUGGGGAGUACGGCCGCAAGGCUAAAACUCAAAGAAAUUGACGGGGGCCCGCACAAGCGGCGGAGCAUGUGGAUUAAUUCGAUGCAACGCGAAGAACCUUACCUGGGUUUGACAUACACCGGAAACCUGCAGAGAUGUAGGCCCCCUUGUGGUCGGUGUACAGGUGGUGCAUGGCUGUCGUCAGCUCGUGUCGUGAGAUGUUGGGUUAAGUCCCGCAACGAGCGCAACCCUUAUCUUAUGUUGCCAGCGCGUAAUGGCGGGGACUCGUGAGAGACUGCCGGGGUCAACUCGGAGGAAGGUGGGGACGACGUCAAGUCAUCAUGCCCCUUAUGUCCAGGGCUUCACACAUGCUACAAUGGCCGGUACAGAGGGCUGCGAUACCGCGAGGUGGAGCGAAUCCCUUAAAGCCGGUCUCAGUUCGNAUCGGGGUCUGCAACUCGACCCCGUGANNGUNGGAGUCGCUAGUA
This 1268-nucleotide ribosomal RNA is filed under the name Nocardia sp. RNAcentral describes it as "bacterial SSU rRNA". It matches the Rfam family "Bacterial small subunit ribosomal RNA", at positions 56 to 1340 of the family's 1533-position model. The record is from RNAcentral. Lineage: Bacteria; Bacillati; Actinomycetota; Actinomycetes; Mycobacteriales; Nocardiaceae.